Molecule: ribosomal RNA, 519 nt
Filed under: uncultured eukaryote
Lineage: Eukaryota
Description: bacterial SSU rRNA
Rfam family: Eukaryotic small subunit ribosomal RNA
Source: RNAcentral
AGGGCACCACCAGGAGUGGAGCCUGCGGCUUAAUUUGACUCAGCACGGGGAAACUUACCCGGCCUGGACACUGGAAGGAUUGACAGAUUGAGAGCUCUUUCUUGAUUCAGUGGGUGGUGGUGCAUGGCCGUUCUUAGUUGGUGGAGCGAUUUGUCUGGUUAAUUCCGAUAACGAACGAGACUCUAGCCUAUUAAAUAGGCUCUCGGCUUUUAAACGCCGGGAGGACUUCUUAGAGGGACAGGUGGCGGUUCAGCCGCACGAAAGAGAGCAAUAACAGGUCUGUGAUGCCCUUUGUUGUCCGGGGCCGCACGCGCGCUACACUGAAGAGAUCAGCGUGCUUUACGUUCCUGCUCCGACCGGAGUGGGGAACCCAGUGAACCUUCUUCUUGAUUGGGGGAAAAGAAUAUUGUUAUUCUUCUUUUUGAAAGAAUUUUCCCAAAUAAUGCGUCAUCAGCUCGCGUUUUUACGCCUCCCUGCCCUUUGUACACACCGCCUCGUCUACUACUACCGAUUGAAUUU